Carassius carassius (crucian carp) is the source of this 1090-nucleotide long non-coding RNA. RefSeq lists it as uncharacterized. The transcript has 6 exons. The record is from RefSeq and is a predicted model, not a curated record. Lineage: Eukaryota; Metazoa; Chordata; Actinopteri; Cypriniformes; Cyprinidae.
AACGUUAUUUUUUUUUCCUACUAUGGAAGUCAAUGAGACCAGAAUCUGUCUGGUUACUGACAUUCUUCUAAAUAUCUUCCUUUCUGUUCAGCAGAAGAAAGAAAUUCAUACAGGUUUAAAACAACAUGAGGGUGAGUAUAUGAUGACAGUAUUUUCAUUUUAAAGUGGAGCAUCCCUUUAACUCAGACCCUUGUUGGUACUAUCAGUGUGUUAGUGGCAAUGGUGACUGAUAUUUCUCUGCAAUAGACAUGAAUACUUCGGAGCGAAAGUUGGACAAACGUUCGAAGAAAGAUUCCGAAUACAACGCCAUUGUGGGAAAGAGAAUCCGUGUUGCCAAACGUCUGUGGGAGGAUGAGGAUGAGGAUGACCCCCCUACUGCCGUGGCCACAGUCAGUGGAACCAAAGCUGCCAUUCACAAUCAAGGAGCUGAAAUCCUAGCUUCCAUUUCCUUGGAAGAACAAGCAGAAAAUAGUGACAACGAGCUCUCACUUGUGCAUCAAGAAUUGCUAGAAAUAAAAAAAUUCAUCUUUACAGAGAUACCUUAGAUAAAAGAAAUGCUCAACAGAAGCUCCAUGCACCUCGGCAGUCCAGGGUCUCUCCCCAGCCCUUCAAACCCUGUUCAAAUAGAAGAAAUUGUCCCAGGUUCAGGUGUUUACGUAUCACGAAGUGUGUGGCGCUCUGCUUGCCAGGCAUCUAGUGGGACUUCAAUGGCAAGGAUUUUGCUGCUUGGGGUGUUUGACAUUGAAACACUUAUCAAAAGUAAUUUGAGAGGAGGGGAAUCCAAGGUUUCAAAGGGGGGAGAUGGGGAGAAAAGAAGCGCCCUGGAUGAAAUAAAAGUGAAAGCUAUAAUGGAUGCUGUUAUGUCAAGACACUCAGUUUCGACUGGCCAGAUCGGAGCAGCCCUGAAUGGGAAGAUGGCAGAACUAAGACUGGCAAUGUCCAGGAAAAAUUUUCAUUAAAAAUGAGUGUUUCCCGAGUGAGUCAAAAAAUCUGAAGUUGAAAUUAAAUGAAGUUUUUACUUGAAAAGUUUGUGUACUGAACAAAAUGCAUUAAAGUUUGUAUUUGAAAAGACCUGGAAUUGUGUGUUCUG